CAAGUCGAACGGUAACAGGAAGAAGCUUGCUUCUUUGCUGACGAGUGGCGGACGGGUGAGUAAUGUCUGGGAAACUGCCUGAUGGAGGGGGAUAACUACUGGAAACGGUAGCUAAUACCGCAUAACGUCGCAAGACCAAAGAGGGGGACCUUCGGGCCUCUUGCCAUCGGAUGUGCCCAGAUGGGAUUAGCUGUUGGUGGGGUAACGGCUCACCAGGCGACGAUCCCUAGCUGGUCUGAGAGGAUGACCAGCCACACUGGAACUGAGACACGGUCCAGACUCCUACGGGAGGCAGCAGUGGGGAAUAUUGCACAAUGGGCGCAAGCCUGAUGCAGCCAUGCCGCGUGUAUGAAGAAGGCCUUCGGGUUGUAAAGUACUUUCAGCGGGGAGGAAGGGAGUAAAGUUAAUACCUUUGCUCAUUGACGUUACCCGCAGAAGAAGCACCGGCUAACUCCGUGCCAGCAGCCGCGGUAAUACGGAGGGUGCAAGCGUUAAUCGGAAUUACUGGGCGUAAAGCGCACGCAGGCGGUUUGUUAAGUCAGAUGUGAAAUCCCCGGGCUCAACCUGGGAACUGCAUCUGAUACUGGCAAGCUUGAGUCUCGUAGAGGGGGGUAGAAUUCCAGGUGUAGCGGUGAAAUGCGUAGAGAUCUGGAGGAAUACCGGUGGCGAAGGCGGCCCCC
RNAcentral lists this ribosomal RNA (680 nucleotides) under Escherichia sp. RNAcentral describes it as "bacterial SSU rRNA". It matches the Rfam family "Bacterial small subunit ribosomal RNA", at positions 58 to 729 of the family's 1533-position model. Lineage: Bacteria; Pseudomonadati; Pseudomonadota; Gammaproteobacteria; Enterobacterales; Enterobacteriaceae. The record is from RNAcentral.